This is a long non-coding RNA of Myotis brandtii (Brandt's bat), 357 nucleotides long. RefSeq lists it as uncharacterized. Lineage: Eukaryota; Metazoa; Chordata; Mammalia; Chiroptera; Vespertilionidae. The transcript is spliced from 3 exons. The record is from RefSeq and is a predicted model, not a curated record.
CCCUCACCGGGGUUGGAAAAACUAAGUACUCAUUUCUGCAGCCUUCCUUCCAGUAUCUAAUCUGGACAAAGCCGAAUGCAAUGUUAGUGAGCCAAUUUCCACAUUACUUGGAUGAACUUUGGAAGAGAAGGCGUAUUAGUCAUUUGUUUUUGUAAGAUAUCACACAAGGAAGAGAUAAACAACUGGCAGCAGUCAGGCAAAUACAGCUGGACUUCUCAUCAUGUUUCACUAUCACUCUUGCUUGGGCUGUUCCCCUGUAAAUACAGCCAGGAAGACAAAAGCUCUCUGAGUCAAUUAGCUUUAAGACCUCACAGGUAAGAAAAUCAAACCUAAUUGAAAUGCAUUAUGGCAAUUCCA